This 22-nucleotide ribosomal RNA is filed under the name Trichoderma harzianum. RNAcentral describes it as "partial 18S ribosomal RNA". RNAcentral also lists the same sequence under 4 other names. The record is from RNAcentral. Lineage: Eukaryota; Fungi; Ascomycota; Sordariomycetes; Hypocreales; Hypocreaceae.
GAACCUGCGGAGGGAUCAUUAC